Molecule: ribosomal RNA, 497 nt
Filed under: uncultured bacterium
Lineage: Bacteria
Description: partial 16S ribosomal RNA
Rfam family: Bacterial small subunit ribosomal RNA
Source: RNAcentral
GAUGAACGCUGGCGGCGUGCCUAAUACAUGCAAGUCGAGCGAACAGACGAGGAGCUUGCUCCUUUGACGUUAGCGGCGGACGGGUGAGUAACACGUGGAUAACCUACCUAUAAGACUGGGAUAACUUCGGGAAACCGGAGCUAAUACCGGAUAAGAUUUUGAACCGCAUGGUUCAAUAGUGAAAGACGGCCUUGCUGUCACUUAUAGAUGGAUCCGCGCCGUAUUAGCUAGUUGGUAAGGUAACGGCUUACCAAGGCAACGAUACGUAGCCGACCUGAGAGGGUGAUCGGCCACACUGGAGCUGAGACACGGUCCAGACUCCUACGGGAGGCAGCAGUAGGGAAUCUUCCGCAAUGGGCGAAAGCCUGACGGAGCAACGCCGCGUGAGUGAUGAAGGUCUUCGGAUCGUAAAACUCUGUUAUCAGGGAAGAACAAACGUGUAAGUAACUGUGCACGUCUUGACGGUACCUGAUCAGAAAGCCACGGCUAACUACGUG